Molecule: ribosomal RNA, 329 nt
Filed under: uncultured bacterium
Lineage: Bacteria
Description: bacterial SSU rRNA
Rfam family: Bacterial small subunit ribosomal RNA
Source: RNAcentral
AGCGAACGCUGGCGGCAGGCUUAACACAUGCAAGUCGAGCGGGCGUAGCAAUACGUCAGCGGCAGACGGGUGAGUAACACGUGGGAACGUACCUUUUGGUUCGGAACAACACAGGGAAACUUGUGCUAAUACCGAAUAAGCCCUUACGGGGAAAGAUUUAUCGCCGAAAGAUCGGCCCGCGUCUGAUUAGCUUGUUGGUGAGGUAACGGCUCACCAAGGCGACGAUCAGUAGCGGUCUGAGAGGAUGAUCAGCCACACUGGGACUGAGACACGGCCCAGACUCCUACGGGAGGCAGCAGUGGGGAAUCUUGCGCAAUGGGCGAAAGCCU